Molecule: ribosomal RNA, 427 nt
Filed under: uncultured bacterium
Lineage: Bacteria
Description: partial 16S ribosomal RNA
Rfam family: Bacterial small subunit ribosomal RNA
Source: RNAcentral
GUGGGGAAUCUUGCGCAAUGGGCGAAAGCCUGACGCAGCAACGCCGCGUGCGGGAUGACGGCCUUCAAGGUUGUAAACCGCUUUCAGCAGGGACGAAAAUGACGGUACCUGCAGAAGAAGCCCCGGCUAACUACGUGCCAGCAGCCGCGGUAAUACGUAGGGGGCAAGCGUUGUCCGGAUUCAUUGGGCGUAAAGAGCUCGUAGGCGGUUCAGUAAGUCGGGUGUGAAAGCUCCGAGCUCAACUCGGAGAGGCCACCCGAUACUGCUGUGGCUUGAGUACAGUAGGGGAGCGUGGAAUUCCUGGUGUAGCGGUGAAAUGCGCAGAUAUCAGGAGGAACACCAGCGGCGAAGGCGGCGCUCUGGGCUGUAACUGACGCUGAGGAGCGAAAGUGUGGGUAGCAAACAGGAUUAGAUACCCGAGUAGUCC